UGGGGAAUAUUGGACAAUGGGCGAAAGCCUGAUCCAGCCAUGCCGCGUGUGUGAAGAAGGUCUUCGGAUUGUAAAGCACUUUAAGUUGGGAGGAAGGGCAGUAAGCGAAUACCUUGCUGUUUUGACGUUACCGACAGAAUAAGCACCGGCUAACUCUGUGCCAGCAGCCGCGGUAAUACAGAGGGUGCAAGCGUUAAUCGGAAUUACUGGGCGUAAAGCGCGCGUAGGUGGUUCGUUAAGUUGAAUGUGAAAGCCCCGGGCUCAACCUGGGAACUGCAUCCAAAGCUGGCGAGCUAGAGUAGGGCAGAGGGUGGUGGAAUUUCCUGUGUAGCGGUGAAAUGCGUAGAUAUAGGAAGGAACACCAGUGGCGAAGGCGACCACCUGGGCUCAUACUGCCACUGAGGUGCGAAAGCGUGGGGAGCAAACAGG
This 429-nucleotide ribosomal RNA is filed under the name Pseudomonadota bacterium. Its description in RNAcentral is "Proteobacteria bacterium partial 16S ribosomal RNA". It matches the Rfam family "Bacterial small subunit ribosomal RNA", at positions 355 to 776 of the family's 1533-position model. The record is from RNAcentral. Lineage: Bacteria; Pseudomonadati; Pseudomonadota.